GGGAAUUAGGGUUCGAUUCCGGAGAGGGAGCCUGAGAGAUAGCUACCACUUCUACGGAGGGCAGCAGGCGCGUAAAUUGCCCAAUGCCAAAUCGGCGAGGCAGCGAAGAAAAAUAGCGAUCCCGCCUCAUUGAGUGCGGGAGUUGCAAUGUGUGGUAUUUACAACCACCAACGAGUAACAAUUGGAGGACAAGUCUGGUGCCAGCACCCGCGGUAAUUCCAGCUCCAAUAGCGUAUAUUAAUGUUGCUGCUGUUAAAGCGCUCGUAGUUGGACUCGGGACGCGAGGAUUCGGGCGCACUCGCGCCAGCUCUUUCGCGUCCUGUCACAGACGGAGCCGUGUUCCGCCCGCGUGCCUUCGCUGGCCCGCGGGCACCCGCAAGGGACCGGGCACGACAUGCCCAUCGAACCGUCCGUCGUUCUCACCGUGAAUAAAACAGCGUGUUCAAGGCAGCCGUUCGGCCGCAUGACAAAGCAUGGAAUGACAGAGCAUCGACCAGCUGGUUGUGCUUUUGUUGGUUUUACUACCUAGUUGGGUAACUCGCGGUGCCGGCGCGGCCUCGGCCGCCCGGCGCCAGCACGGGAUUAACGGGGGUUGUCGGGGAAGGAAGUAUGCCGAAGUGAGAGGUGAAAUUCUGUGAUCUUCGGUGGACUAACAAAUGCGAAGGCGUCCUUCAAGUAUACCUUCAUCAAUCAAGAGCUCUAGCGUGGGGAACAAAAAUGAUUAGAUACCAUUGUAGUCCACCGCUGCAAACGAUGACGCCCAUGGAUCGGAUAGCAUCUUAUUCCGAUGGGAUCUUUUCGGCACUGCUCCCCUUCAACGCGAAAGCUGAGGCUUUGGUCUCAUGGGGAAGUACGUUCGCAAGGCUGAAACUUAAAGAAAUUGACGGAAUGGCACCACCAGACGUGGAGUGUGCGGUUUAAUUUGACUCAACACGGGAAACCUUACCAGGACAGGACAACGGAAUGAUUGACAGAUUGAUAGCUCUUUCUUGAUUCGUUUGACGGUGGUGCAUGGCCGCUUUUGGUCGGUGAAGUGAUUUGUUUGGUUGAUUCCUUUAACGGACGAGACCCAAUCCGCUUACUAGGUGCGCCAUCUCUGCGGCGCGCGCGGGCUCGCCCGUGCGCGUCGGAUAGCGACUCCUUCUUCGCGGCAUUCCAUGCGCCUUAGCAUGGUGGCAUUUUGGGCAACAGCAGGUCC
This 1198-nucleotide ribosomal RNA is filed under the name Perkinsela sp. RNAcentral describes it as "SSU rRNA". It matches the Rfam family "Eukaryotic small subunit ribosomal RNA", at positions 365 to 1463 of the family's 1831-position model. Lineage: Eukaryota; Euglenozoa; Kinetoplastea; Prokinetoplastida; Perkinselidae. The record is from RNAcentral.